CUGGAGAAUGUCUGACGCUCAGGUGCGAAAGCGUGGGGAGCAAACAGGAUUAGAUACCCUGGUAGUCCACGCCGUAAACGAUGUCUACUUGGAGGUUGUGCCCUUGAGGCGUGGCUUCCGGAGCUAACGCGUUAAGUAGACCGCCUGGGGAGUACGGCCGCAAGGUUAAAACUCAAAUGAAUUGACGGGGGCCCGCACAAGCGGUGGAGCAUGUGGUUUAAUUCGAUGCAACGCGAAGAACCUUACCUGGUCUUGACAUCCACAGAACUUUCCAGAGAUGGAUUGGUGCCUUCGGGAACUGUGAGACAGGUGCUGCAUGGCUGUCGUCAGCUCGUGUUGUGAAAUGUUGGGUUAAGUC
This 358-nucleotide ribosomal RNA is filed under the name Salmonella enterica subsp. enterica serovar Blockley. RNAcentral describes it as "bacterial SSU rRNA". It matches the Rfam family "Bacterial small subunit ribosomal RNA", at positions 729 to 1086 of the family's 1533-position model. Lineage: Bacteria; Pseudomonadati; Pseudomonadota; Gammaproteobacteria; Enterobacterales; Enterobacteriaceae. The record is from RNAcentral.